GAUGUACGCUGGCGGCGUGCCUAAUACAUGCAAGUCGAGCGAACAGAUGAGGAGCUUGCUCCUCUGACGUUAGCGGCGGACGGGUGAGUAACACGUGGAUAACCUACCUAUAAGACUGGGAUAACUUCGGGAAACCGGAGCUAAUACCGGAUAAUAUAUUGAACCGCAUGGUUCAAUAGUGAAAGACGGUUUUGCUGUCACUUAUAGAUGGAUCCGCGCCGCAUUAGCUAGUUGGUAAGGUAACGGCUUACCAAGGCAACGAUGCGUAGCCGACCUGAGAGGGUGAUCGGCCACACUGGAACUGAGACACGGUCCAGACUCCUACGGGAGGCAGCAGUAGGGAAUCUUCCGCAAUGGGCGAAAGCCUGACGGAGCAACGCCGCGUGAGUGAUGAAGGUCUUCGGAUCGUAAAACUCUGUUAUUAGGGAAGAACAAAUGUGUAAGUAACUAUGCACGUCUUGACGGUACCUAAUCAGAAAGCCACGGCUAACUACGUG
This 497-nucleotide ribosomal RNA is filed under the name uncultured bacterium. Its description in RNAcentral is "partial 16S ribosomal RNA". It matches the Rfam family "Bacterial small subunit ribosomal RNA", at positions 28 to 507 of the family's 1533-position model. The record is from RNAcentral.